RNAcentral lists this non-coding RNA (92 nucleotides) under Paucidesulfovibrio gracilis. Its description in RNAcentral is "Desulfovibrio gracilis TPP sequence". It matches the Rfam family "TPP riboswitch aptamer (THI element)". Rfam says of the family: Vitamin B(1) in its active form thiamin pyrophosphate (TPP) is an essential coenzyme that is synthesised by coupling of pyrimidine and thiazole moieties in bacteria. RNAcentral also lists the same sequence under 1 other name. The record is from RNAcentral. Lineage: Bacteria; Pseudomonadati; Thermodesulfobacteriota; Desulfovibrionia; Desulfovibrionales; Desulfovibrionaceae.
UAGGCACUGCAGGGGUGGCUGGAAGGCCUGAGAGGAUACCCUUUGAACCUGAUCCGGGUAAUGCCGGCGCAGGGAGCCGAUAUCCGAAGCGU